ACGAACGCUGGCGGCGUGCUUAACCCAUGCAAGUCGAACGGAAAGGCCCUGCUUUUGUGGGGUGCUCGAGUGGCGAACGGGUGAGUAACACGUGAGUAACCUGCCCUUGACUUUGGGAUAACUUCAGGAAACUGGGGCUAAUACCGGAUAGGAGCUCCUGCUGCAUGGUGGGGGUUGGAAAGUUUCGGCGGUUGGGGAUGGACUCGCGGCUUAUCAGCUUGUUGGUGGGGUAGUGGCUUACCAAGGCUUUGACGGGUAGCCGGCCUGAGAGGGUGACCGGCCACAUUGGGACUGAGAUACGGCCCAGACUCCUACGGGAGGCAGCAGUGGGGAAUAUUGCACAAUGGGCGGAAGCCUGAUGCAGCAACGCCGCGUGCGGGAUGACGGCCUUCGGGUUGUAAACCGCUUUCGCCUGUGACGAAGCGUGAGUGACGGUAAUGGGUAAAGAAGCACCGGCUAACUACG
Molecule: ribosomal RNA, 465 nt
Filed under: uncultured bacterium
Lineage: Bacteria
Description: partial 16S ribosomal RNA
Rfam family: Bacterial small subunit ribosomal RNA
Source: RNAcentral